GAAAUGCCGGUCAAAAGUCCACCUGCUG
This 28-nucleotide small RNA is filed under the name Bombyx mori (domestic silkworm). RNAcentral describes it as "ovarian small RNA-15102". Lineage: Eukaryota; Metazoa; Arthropoda; Insecta; Lepidoptera; Bombycidae. The record is from RNAcentral.